Molecule: unclassified non-coding RNA, 370 nt
Filed under: uncultured Flavobacteriaceae bacterium
Lineage: Bacteria; Pseudomonadati; Bacteroidota; Flavobacteriia; Flavobacteriales; Flavobacteriaceae
Description: contains 16S-23S intergenic spacer region
Source: RNAcentral
UCCCCGUUAUCCGGGGCGGUUUCGCUAGAGUGCCCGACUUGACUCGCUGGCAACUAACGACAGGGGUUGCGCUCGUUAUAGGACUUAACCUGACACCUCACGGCACGAGCUAACGACAACCAUGCAGCACCUUGUAAAUUGUCUUGCGAAAGGCCUGUUUCCAAGCCGGUCAACCUACAUUUAAGCCCUGGUAAGGUUCCUCGCGUAUCAUCGAAUUAAACCACAUGCUCCACCGCUUGUGCGGGCCCCCGCCAAUUCCUUUGAGUUUCAUUCUUGCGAACGUACUCCCCAGGUGGGAUACUUAUCACUUUCGCUUAGCCACUCAGGUUGCCCCGAACAGCUAGUAUCCAUCGUUUACGGCGUGGACUAC